GACGAACGCUGGCGGCGCGCCUAACACAUGCAAGUCGAACGAGCGAGAGAGAGCUUGCUUUCUCGAGCGAGUGGCGAACGGGUGAGUAACGCGUGAGGAACCUGCCCCAAAGAGGGGGACAACAGUUGGAAACGACUGCUAAUACCGCAUAAGCCCACGGUGCCGCAUGGCACAGAGGGAAAAGGAGCAAUCCGCUUUGAGAUGGCCUCGCGUCCGAUUAGCUAGUUGGUGAGGUAAUGGCCCACCAAGGCGACGAUCGGUAGCCGGACUGAGAGGUUGAACGGCCACAUUGGGACUGAGACACGGCCCAGACUCCUACGGGAGGCAGCAGUGGGGAAUAUUGCACAAUGGGGGAAACCCUGAUGCAGCGACGCCGCGUGGAGGAAGAAGGUCUUCGGAUUGUAAACUCCUGUUGUUGGGGAAGAUAAUGACGGUACCCAACAAGGAAGUGACGGCUAACUACGUA
Molecule: ribosomal RNA, 466 nt
Filed under: uncultured bacterium
Lineage: Bacteria
Description: partial 16S ribosomal RNA
Rfam family: Bacterial small subunit ribosomal RNA
Source: RNAcentral